Molecule: long non-coding RNA, 305 nt
Organism: Anguilla rostrata (American eel)
Lineage: Eukaryota; Metazoa; Chordata; Actinopteri; Anguilliformes; Anguillidae
Exons: 2
Source: RefSeq, a predicted model, not a curated record
AAAAAAAAAAAAAAGAGGGCUUAUUAUUUAAGUCAAUAGUGCAACUCCAAAAUAAAUCCAAGUUUCUAUUAAACCCCUUAUCAAAGUAAAAAAGUUAGGUCUGCAUAUUAAACAAAGUGCAACAUGUUUAGAGUGUAAGAGACAAUGGUGUCCAGCUCAAAGUCCAACUCAAAUAUUGGAAUCAAAUGUCUGAUAGACAUGUGCUAGCUCUUUUCUUGGAAACUUUUCACUACUAACUAACACUUACAUUACAGCGUGAAAUAUUCACAUUAUAUAAUACCACUGACCUAUUUAAAGACACUAAA